CAAGCACGGACCGUGCCAUUGCAGCGCUGUGCCUCCUGUCAGGAGGGUACGAAAAGCCCAGGGAAAAAGCAAAAACUGUGUAGGAGAAACUUACUGAAAGCAAAUUG
This 107-nucleotide long non-coding RNA is filed under the name Anser brachyrhynchus (Pink-footed goose). RNAcentral describes it as "lncRNA (ENSABRG00000010464.1)". The record is from RNAcentral. Lineage: Eukaryota; Metazoa; Chordata; Aves; Anseriformes; Anatidae.